Non-coding RNA from Potamilus streckersoni, 73 nucleotides. The record is from the annotation of a GenBank genome assembly. NCBI's taxonomy places the organism in Eukaryota, Metazoa, Mollusca, Bivalvia, Unionida, Unionidae.
GCUCCGAUAGCCUAGUGGUUAGAGAGUUUACCUCAGAUGCAGGAGGUCGUGGGUUCAAUCCCCUGCCGAGUCA